RNAcentral lists this unclassified non-coding RNA (1399 nucleotides) under Sitophilus oryzae (rice weevil). RNAcentral's name for it is "protein amalgam-like, transcript variant X2". The record is from RNAcentral. Lineage: Eukaryota; Metazoa; Arthropoda; Insecta; Coleoptera; Curculionidae.
CGUCGCGACGAUAGGCGUCUCGGUGCGUCCAGGAGCGUCCGGUUUCGCAAAUUUGACAUUUCGCGGGGUUCCCUGGGGACUCUAUGCGGUAAACCGGGAAGACAGGAUUAGUUCAGGGGUGGUUUCCUAUGACAAACGCUAGAAAUAUACUGAAAUGUCACAGGAUUAGAUAAGAUUUUGGUCCCCGAAAGCUUCCUGAAAUCUUCGAAUCAAUAUGAACUCUAGCCUGAAAAAUCAACAUAUCAAAAUUUCUGGAAUAAAUCUCCAUUACCCAUGGGAAAAUGGCAGAUUCUUCAACAAUGCGCCAUGAAAAAUGCAACGUCGCCGGUGUAACAAUUGAAAUUGUUUUAUAGAGGGUGUUGUUAUCACUAUGAAACGUUUUCUGUCAAGUUUUAUAGUGUGCUUGUUAGUGUUGUUUGGGGUGACUGGUGAGUUGUGGACUAAGAAAGAAGAUAGAUUCUAUGAUUUUGCAAAUUUUCCAAAAUCUCGUCAAGGAAGAAGCUACGUGGCCAGGGGGAAAAACUACGGAUCAGCAAACUCACUGACCAGAUUUUCUGAGCAAGAUGGUAUGUUCAUCACGCAGAAUUUUUCAACUGUCAUUGCUCAGAUGGGAGGCACGGCAAAGUUGCCUUGUAUCAUCAGGAAAUUCAACAAUAUAGUGGUUUCCUGGAUAAGAAAAAACGAUUCGCCUCCCACGAUCCUUACAGUCGGUCUAGGAACCUACAUUGCCGACGAGAGGUUUUUAGUCGAGCAUGCCCGCCAUUUGCAAAAUUGGGGUUUGGUCAUCAAGCAUGUCCAGAUAUCGGAUGCAGGGUUGUAUGAAUGUCAAGUUUCAACUCACCCUACAACAAGUAUCUUCAUAGAGCUCAAAGUUACAGAGGCUGUGGCUGAAAUCAGUGGGGCUCCCGACCUGCACAUCAGAGCCGGAUCUAGGCUUCGCAUAGUUUGUCGAUUAAGGCACAGCACGGAGCCUCCAUCCUACGUGUUCUGGUAUCACGAUCACAGAAUGAUCAAUCACGAUGUUGGAGUAGUGGUCACCGCGGACAGAUCGACCAGUAUUCUACUUGUAGAAGAUGUAGACCCUACUUUCAGCGGAAACUACACUUGUUAUCCUUCAAAUGCUACACCAGCAUAUGUGAACGUUCACGUUCUGAACUCUACAGAAGAAGAGAACCCGGCAGCCAUGAUGCACAACAAUACCAAUCAUCAUGUUGCAUGUUAUUUUCUGCUCUUAGUUUUCCUGUUUUUGCAUGUAUUAUGUUUUGCCAGCUAAAAAAACAUUAUUGGAGUGUAUAGUUUUAAACUUAAGACUAAUAUUUUUGAAGUUGCUUUUCGUACAAAGAAAAUCCCGAUUUCGAGAUAGAGAAUGCUAGAGAAAAAUACUUGGAAAAUUGGCAGA